CUUUCUCCACAAACUAUUUUUUAAGGGACCGUGUCUUCGUAUGUGGUUUUUCUGCUCGUCUAAAAAGUCAAAAUUUCUGAUGGAUUUAUUUUACCAUCCAUUGUUUCACGUUUUCCAUUUCAUGAUUUCAUGCGUGCUAAGUAAAAGGUAACUUAAAGUAUGCUAUAUAAAUAAUUACAUAUUAUUAUAAUGAUCAUUCUAGGGAUUUAUCUAACCAAGCAUGAAUUCUGAUAAAGUCAAUUACCUUUUCUGUGAAGAAAAAAAUUACUCAACUACAAGUGCUUAUAGUUCAUGGUUUCUCGAUGGUGCAAGUGUCACUCAAGACAUCUUCCUUCACAAUUCCCUACUCACAACUAAGUGCCUUUGAUCCAGGACCAUGAGACGUCUUUUAGUUUAGCAAGUACAAAUUGUACAACUUAUUCCUUUUUUCUAAUAAUUUAAAAUCAUUCUUUAUGGAUGUUUUUGAAUAUUUAUAUCAACUAGAAAUUAAUCUGUAAAAUUUUUAGAAAAUAUUUUAAUGCAUUUGACAUGACCUCUAAAUAGUUUGAAACGGUUGA
This is an RNA transcript of Arabidopsis thaliana (thale cress), 557 nucleotides long. RefSeq lists it as uncharacterized. Lineage: Eukaryota; Viridiplantae; Streptophyta; Magnoliopsida; Brassicales; Brassicaceae. The record is from RefSeq. The transcript has a single exon.